ACUUGGUCAGGAAUCCUUUUGCAGCCUUCAAUGUGGCGUGGAGGCCUCAGCCUGUGGCUCUGCUGAGGUGUUAUGGAGCCCAGGAUGCUCCGAUAGCGGCCUUAAGCUCAUCCAGACUGUUGGAUGAGCUUAACUUUCUCUUCAUAAUAUCCCACAGAUUCUCUAUGGGGUUCAGGUCAGGAGAGUUGGCAGGCCAACAGUAACACCAUGGUCAGUAAUACCAGUGGUUUUGGCCCUGUGAGCAGGUGCCAGGUUGUGCUGAAAAAUGAAAUCUUCAUCUCCAUAAAACUUUUCAGCAGAUGGAAGCAUGAAGUGCUCCAAAAUCUUCUGAUAGCUGCUGCACUGA
This is a long non-coding RNA of Poecilia latipinna (sailfin molly), 346 nucleotides long. RefSeq lists it as uncharacterized. The record is from RefSeq and is a predicted model, not a curated record. The transcript is spliced from 2 exons. Lineage: Eukaryota; Metazoa; Chordata; Actinopteri; Cyprinodontiformes; Poeciliidae.